GAUGAACGCUGGCGGCGUGCUUAACACAUGCCAGUCGAACGGAAAGGCUCCUGCUUGCAGGGGUACUCGAGUGGCGAACGGGUGAGUAACACGUGGGUGAUCUGCCCUGCACUUCGGGAUAAGCCUGGGAAACUGGGUCUAAUACCGGAUAGGACCACAUUUUGGAUGGUGUGGUGGAAAGUUUUUCGGUGUGGGAUGAGCUCGCGGCCUAUCAGCUUGUUGGUGGGGUAAUGGCCUACCAAGGCGUCGACGGGUAGCCGGCCUGAGAGGGUGUACGGCCAAAUGGGGAAGGAGAAACGGCCCAAACCCCAAGGGGAGGGAGAGGGGGGGAAUAUUGAAAAAGGGGGGAAAGCCGGAUGCAGCGGCGCCGGGGGGGGGAGGACGGCCUUGGGGUGGAAAACCCCUUUCGCUGGGGACGAAGCGAAAGUGACGGUACCUGGAGAAGAAGCACCGGCUAAAUACGG
This 464-nucleotide ribosomal RNA is filed under the name uncultured bacterium. RNAcentral's name for it is "partial 16S ribosomal RNA". It matches the Rfam family "Bacterial small subunit ribosomal RNA", at positions 28 to 506 of the family's 1533-position model. The record is from RNAcentral.